This 448-nucleotide ribosomal RNA is filed under the name uncultured soil bacterium. Its description in RNAcentral is "bacterial SSU rRNA". It matches the Rfam family "Bacterial small subunit ribosomal RNA", at positions 26 to 518 of the family's 1533-position model. The record is from RNAcentral.
AGAACGAACGCUGGCGGCAGGCCUAACACAUGCAAGUCGAACGCUCCGCAAGGAGAGUGGCAGACGGGUGAGUAACGCGUGGGAAUUUCCCCCAAGGUUCGGAAUAACUGAGGGAAACUUCAGCUAAUACCGAAUGGUACCGAGAGGUUAAAGAUUUAUCGCCUUGGGAUGAGCCCGCGUUGGAUUAGCUAGUUGGUGAGGUAACGGCUCACCAAGGCUUUGAUCCAUAGCUGGUCUGAGAGGACGACCAGCCACACUGGGACUGAGACACGGCCCAGACUCCUACGGGAGGCAGCAGUGGGAAUCUUGGACAAGUGGGCGCAAGCCUGAUCCAGCCAUGCCGCGUGGGCGAUGGAGGUCUUCGGAUUGUAAAGCCCGUUUUGGCGGGGACGAGUAAUGGACGGUACCCGCAGAAUAAGCUCCGGCUAACGUUCGUGCCAGCAGCCGC